This 34-nucleotide non-coding RNA is filed under the name unclassified sequences. RNAcentral's name for it is "DUF805b RNA". It matches the Rfam family "DUF805b RNA". From Rfam's summary of the family: Bacteroidetes, Chlorobi (1 example), Proteobacteria. Lineage (Flavobacteria) The record is from RNAcentral.
AAGGUGUAUCCGAAAAACCUAAAAAGAGUAAGAA